CGGGGAAUUUUGGACAAUGGGCGAAAGCCUGAUCCAGCAAUGCCGCGUGUGUGAAGAAGGCCUUCGGGUUGUAAAGCACUUUUGUCCGGAAAGAAAUCCUUGGCUCUAAUACAGUCGGGGGAUGACGGUACCGGAAGAAUAAGCACCGGCUAACUACGUGCCAGCAGCCGCGGUAAUACGUAGGGUGCAAGCGUUAAUCGGAAUUACUGGGCGUAAAGCGUGCGCAGGCGGCUUGCUAAGACCGAUGUGAAAUCCCCGGGCUCAACCUGGGUACUGCAUUGGUGACUGGCAGGCUAGAGUAUGGCAGAGGGGGGUAGAAUUCCACGUGUAGCAGUGAAAUGCGUAGAGAUGUGGAGGAAUACCGAUGGCGAAGGCAGCCCCCUGGGCCAAUACUGACGCUCAUGCACGAAAGCGUGGGGAGCAAACAGGAUUAGAUACCCUGGUAGUCCACGCCCUAAAACGAUGUCAACUAGUUGUUGGGGAUUCAUUUCCUUAGUAACGUAGCUAACGCGUGAAGUUGACCGCCUGGGGAGUACGGUCGCAAGAUU
This 548-nucleotide ribosomal RNA is filed under the name uncultured bacterium. RNAcentral describes it as "partial 16S ribosomal RNA". It matches the Rfam family "Bacterial small subunit ribosomal RNA", at positions 355 to 895 of the family's 1533-position model. The record is from RNAcentral.